AAUAUGUAGCGACAGUCGAUUAAAACUGCCCCUACACAACAAAUGGCUGCCGCUACAUGAAAAGGCGUAAGUUUCAUUUUUCCCUUCCUCACGCCUCUUCCCGCCGUCUCUCUCCACUCUUGCUCAGUCGUCUAUCGCUUUCUCUCUCGCGCUCUCUCUCUCUCUCCCCCUUUCUCUCACAGUCGCCCCUCUCUCGCGCUCUUUCUCUCUCAGUUGUCCCUCUUUCGCUCUCUCUCUUGCUCUGUCAAGGGAGUGAUGUCUCUGUCAAAAUAGUGUUCUGAGGUAAAGUCGAUGCUUCUUCAGGCCUUUUUCUCGGAUUGGAAUUCUAGGUAAAGCCUAACUUGAGGCUCCACAAACAAGUUCUUCCCCUCCUACAGCAACUCCCCAAGUUACGCCAGCAACAUCAGCUUCGUCACCAUCAGUUCCUUUAUCUGCACAUACCCCUGUCACAGCUACCCUUACUUCUACUACUGUCCCGAAGCUGUAAGAGCUCAUAUGGCUUGACAUGGAAGCCUUGAUAUAACCACAGCUUGCCAAAUUGGCCUAUGGGACAACAGAGAUGUACCUAGGAAGGAGGAUCCUGUUUACCCCUUGUUGUCAAGUAAUUUAAUCAUGGCACUUGAGGUGGGCUGGGAUAUUAUUGUUGUCAAGUAAUUUAAUCAUGGGGUUAAUCUGCCCCCAAGGUGAAAUUCUUUCACAUGGGUGGUUGCACUAGAAAAAUGUUUGACUAAGGAGAUGCUUUUGAGGAAGGGGCAUCCCAUCCAAGACAAUUAUGUCAGUACUCUGGUCUUCAUGGAAAUGUUUGACUAAGGAGAUGCUUCUGGUCUUCAUGGUUCCUCAUUCAAGCACGGAUUAGCAAGCAAUACCCUUGUCAGUACUCUAGCACCACAAUUAUGUCAUUCUUCAGAGCAAUUCAAUCGGCUGUACUGAGCUUGGUCAUUGAAAGAGACAUUUCCUUGUGGGUUCUGAGAGGGAAAGCUGCGAUCUUAACUGUCUUGUAUGCUGGAAUAAUGGGAUCAGGAUUAAGCUUUGUGGGGAUGUCAUGGUGUGUAAAGAAAAGGGACCCCCUCUUUACUUCAGCAUUCAGCCCACUCAUUCAGAUAAUUGUAGCCAUAAUUGAUUUCUUUAUUCUACAUGAGAAACUAAACCUCGGAAGCGUAUUGGGAUCUGUUCUUGUGAUUAUUGGUCUCUAUUCUCUUGUGGGGCAAAAGUA
Molecule: non-coding RNA, 1213 nt
Organism: Nelumbo nucifera (sacred lotus)
Lineage: Eukaryota; Viridiplantae; Streptophyta; Magnoliopsida; Proteales; Nelumbonaceae
Source: RefSeq, a predicted model, not a curated record